GUGUCAGCAGCCGCGGUAAAACCAGCACCUCAAGUGGUCAGGAUGAUUAUUGGGCCUAAAGCAUCCGUAGCCGGCUCUGUAAGUUUUCGGUUAAAUCUGUACGCUCAACGUACAGGCUGCUGGAAAUACUGCAGAGCUAGGGAGUGGGAGAGGUAGACGGUACUCGGGAGGAAGUGGUAAAAUGCUUUGAUCUCUCGAUGACCACCUGUGGCGAAGGCGGUCUACCAGAACACGUCCGACGGUGAGGGAUGAAAGCUGGGGGAGCAAACCGGAUUAGAUACCCGGGUAGUCCCAGCUGUAAACUAUGCAAACUCAGUGAUGCACUGGCUUAUGGCCAGUGCAGUGUUGCAGGGAAGCCGUUAAGUUUGCCGCCUGGGAAGUACGUACGCAAGUAUGAAACUUAAAGGAAUUGGCGGGGGAGCACCACAAGGGGUGAAGCCUGCGGUUCAAUUGGAGUCAACGCCAGAAAUCUUACCCGGAGAGACAGCAGAAUGAAGGUCAAGCUGAAGACUUUACCAGACAAGCUGAGAGGUGGUGCAUGGCCGUCGCCAGCUCGUGCCGUGAGAUGUCCUGUUAAGUCAGGUAACGAGCGAGAUCCCUGCCUCUAGUUGCCACCAUUACUCUCAGGAGUAGUGGGGCGAAUUAGCGGGACCGCCGUAGUUAAUGCGGAGGAAGGAAGGGGCCACGGCAGGUCAGUAUGCCCCGAAACUCUGGGGCCACACGCGGGCUGCAAUGGUAACGACAAUGUGUUCCAAAUCCGAAAGGAAGAGGUAAUCCUCAAACGUUACCACAGUUAUGACUGAGGGCUGCAACUCGCCCUCACGAAUAUGGAAUCCCUAGUAACUGCGUGUCAUUAUCGCGCGGUGAAUACGUCCCUGCUCCUUGCACACACCGCCCGUC
This 900-nucleotide ribosomal RNA is filed under the name uncultured archaeon. Its description in RNAcentral is "bacterial SSU rRNA". It matches the Rfam family "Archaeal small subunit ribosomal RNA", at positions 455 to 1354 of the family's 1478-position model. The record is from RNAcentral.